This 406-nucleotide ribosomal RNA is filed under the name uncultured Glomeromycotina. RNAcentral's name for it is "SSU rRNA". It matches the Rfam family "Eukaryotic small subunit ribosomal RNA", at positions 688 to 1092 of the family's 1831-position model. Lineage: Eukaryota; Fungi; Glomeromycota. The record is from RNAcentral.
GCUGAUUCCUCCUUUCUGAAGAACUGUAAUGUCAUUAAUUUGGUGUUGCAGGGAAACAGGACUGUUACUUUGAAAUAAUCAGAGUGUUUAAAGCAGGCUAACGCUUGAAUACAUUAGCAUGGAAUAAUGAAAUAGGACGUUCGAUCCUAUUUUGUUGGUUUCUAGGAUUGACGUAAUGAUUAAUAGGGAUAGUUGGGGGCAUUAGUAUUCAAUUGUCAGAGGUGAAAUUCUUGGAUUUAUUGAAGACUAACUACUGCGAAAGCAUUUGCCAAGGAUGUUUUCAUUAAUCAAGAACGAAAGUUAGGGGAUCGAAGACGAUCAGAUACCGUCGUAGUCUUAACCAUAAACUAUGCCGACUAGGGAUCGGAUGAUGUUAAUUUUUUAAUGACUCAUUCGGCGCCUUACG